RNAcentral lists this ribosomal RNA (253 nucleotides) under uncultured bacterium. Its description in RNAcentral is "partial 16S ribosomal RNA". It matches the Rfam family "Bacterial small subunit ribosomal RNA", at positions 524 to 776 of the family's 1533-position model. The record is from RNAcentral.
UACGGGGGGGGCAAGCGUUGUCCGGAAUUAUUGGGCGUAAAGAGCUCGUAGGCGGCCUGUUACGUCUGCUGUGAAAUCCCGGGGCUUAACCCCGGGCGUGCAGUGGAUACGGGCAGGCUGGAGGCAGGCAGGGGAGAACGGAAUUCCCGGUGUAGCGGUGAAAUGCGCAGAUAUCGGGAGGAACACCGGUGGCGAAGGCGGUUCUCUGGGCCUGUACUGACGCUGAGGAGCGAAAGCGUGGGGAGCGAACAGG